UACGUAGGUGGCAAGCGUUGUCCGGAUUUACUGGGCGUAAAGAGCGCGCAGGCGGUCGUUCAAGUCGCGUGUGAAAGCCCCCGGCUCAACUGGGGAGGGUCACGCGAUACUGAUCGACUCGAAGGCAGGAGAGGGAAGUGGAGUUCCCGGUGUAGUGGUGAAAUGCGUAGAUAUCGGGAGGAACACCAGUGGCGAAGGCGGGUCUCUGGGCCGAAACUGACGCUGAGGAGCGAAAGCGUGGGGAGCAAACAGG
Molecule: ribosomal RNA, 253 nt
Filed under: uncultured bacterium
Lineage: Bacteria
Description: partial 16S ribosomal RNA
Rfam family: Bacterial small subunit ribosomal RNA
Source: RNAcentral